AUAAUUUUAUAUUUAUACUUAAUAUAAUUAUAUUUAUUUUUAUAGAAUCAUCUUGAGUUUUUAGUAUCAUUUAGAAAUAAUAACUUUUGUGAUAGUUUAUUUUACCGUGAGGGAUAAAUUUUAAAUUGUAUUAAAGUAGACUUGUAUUGUUGUACCUUUUGCAUCAGGGUUUACCUAAUUUAGGGUAGUUAUACUAUUCAUCCCGAAUUUGAGGGAGUUACGUUUAUAUGGAAUUUUAUGUGUCAUAAUAAUUUUUAAUAUAAGCGUGGAAGUGAUAUGCUAUUCAUUCUUAAUUAUCUGGUUUCUUGAGAAUUGUAUUUAAUACAGAGUAUUACAGUUAAGAUAUAAUUUUAUUUACUGAAAAUUGUAAUACUGUAGGCGUUUAGGGAUAAGCUUAAACGUUAAUUCAUAACUUUAAGUGCAUUUAAAGGGGUGUGUAGGCUUACGAACAGCCAUCGAUACUUCGUUGUAGUUACCCCUUUUUUAUUUUUUAUUUUAAAAAGGUUUGAUUAUUUAUCAAGAAUCUUUAGAUACCUAAUUUACUGUGGGUUAUACUGGUAGAAUUAGUAUUUUAUAUCAACUGAGAAGUAAGAACUCGGCAAAUUUGGCUCCCGCCUGUUUAACAAAAACAUGUUCUAUUGUCUAUUUAUUUUAGAUCUGGCCUGCCCUAUGAUUAAUUAUUAAAUGGCCGCAGUAUCCUGACUGUGCAAAGGUAGCAUAAUCAUUUGUCUUUUAAUUGAAGGCUUGUAUGAAUGGUUGGACGUGGAUGCCCACUUUUUUCUUUUUAUUUGAAGAACUUAAUUUUUGUGUUAAAAAGCUUAAAUUCUUUCAUGGGACGAGAAGACCCUAUAGAAUUUUAUAAUGAUGUUUAUGGGUUUAAUUUAAGUAAUUAUUAUUUAAUUCUUUUGUUUCAUUAUUUUGUUGGGGUGACAGAGAGAUUUAUUGGACUCUCUUUUAUAAAGAGUCGAUUUUAUCGUGUAUUUGAUCCUUUAUUAAGGAUUAUAAGAUCAAAUUACCUUAGGGAUAACAGCGUGAUUUCUUCGGAGAGUUCUUAUCGAUGAAGAAGUUUGCGACCUCGAUGUUGGAUUAAAAUUAGUGGUAGGUGUAGCCGCUUACUUACUAGGUCUGUUCGACCUUUAAAAUUUUACAUGAUCUGAGUUCAGACCGGCGUGAGCCAGGUUGGUUUCUAUCUAUGAAUUUUUGUAGCUGUUUUAGUACGAAAGGACCAGACAGUGGAGUUAUACUUUAUUUUGUAUGUAUUAUAUUA
RNAcentral lists this ribosomal RNA (1267 nucleotides) under Aradus compar. Its description in RNAcentral is "16S ribosomal RNA". The stretch from base 829 to 1196 matches the Rfam family "Bacterial large subunit ribosomal RNA", at positions 2073 to 2647 of the family's 2925-position model. Lineage: Eukaryota; Metazoa; Arthropoda; Insecta; Hemiptera; Aradidae. The record is from RNAcentral.